This 91-nucleotide microRNA precursor is filed under the name Chlorocebus sabaeus (green monkey). Its description in RNAcentral is "miRNA (ENSCSAG00000026914.1)". Lineage: Eukaryota; Metazoa; Chordata; Mammalia; Primates; Cercopithecidae. The record is from RNAcentral.
UGUGUGUGUGUGUGCACAACCACCUACACAGUUAUGUACAACUAUCCAUAUACAUACACACACACACAGAGCCACAACCACACAUAUACAC